This 1437-nucleotide ribosomal RNA is filed under the name uncultured bacterium. RNAcentral describes it as "16S ribosomal RNA". It matches the Rfam family "Bacterial small subunit ribosomal RNA". The record is from RNAcentral.
AGGGUUUGAUCAUGGCUCAGAACGUACGCUGGCGGCACGCCUAACACAUGCAAGUCGAGCGAGGUAGCAAUACCUAGCGGCAGACGGGUGCGUAACAUGUGGGAAUCUGCCUUUUGGUUCGGAAUAACACGGGGAAACCUGUGCUAAUACCGGAUAAGUCCUUACGGAGAAAGUUUUAAUGCCAAAAGAUGAGCCCGCAUUUGAUUAGUUUGUUGGUGAGGUAAUGGCUCACCAAGACUACAAUCAAUAGCUGAUUUGAGAGGAUGAUCAGCCACACUGGGACUGAGAUACGGCCCAGACUCCUACGGGAGGCAGCAGUGGGGAAUCUUGCACAAUGGGCGAAAGCCUGAUGCAGCGAUGCCGCGUGAGUGAAGAAGGCCCUUGGGUUGUAAAGCUCUUUUGUCGGGAAAGAUAAUGACUGUACCCGAAUAAGAAGGUCCGGCUAACUUCGUGCCAGCAGCCGCGGUAAUACGAAGGGACCUAGCGUAGUUCGGAAUUACUGGGCUUAAAGAGUUCGUAGGUGGUUGAAAAAGUUGGUGGUGAAAUCCCAGAGCUUAACUCUGGAACUGCCAUCAAAACUUUUCAGCUAGAGUAUGAUAGAGGAAAGCAGAAUUUCUAGUGUAGAGGUGAAAUUCGUAGAUAUUAGAAAGAAUACCAACUGCGAAGGCAGCUUUCUGGAUCAUUACUGACACUGAGGAACGAAAGCAUGGGUAGCGAAGAGGAUUAGAUACCCUCGUAGUCCAUGCCGUAAACGAUGUGUGUUAGACGUUGGAAAUUUAUUUUCAGUGUCGCAGCGAAAGCGAUAAACACACCGCCUGGGGAGUACGACCGCAAGGUUAAAACUCAAAUGAAUUGACGGGGACCCGCACAAGUAGUGGAGCAUGUGGUUUAAUUCGAAGAUACGCGCAGAACCUUACCAACACUUGACAUGUUCGUCGCGACUCUAAGAGAUUAGAGUUUUCGGUUCGGCCGGACGAAACACAGGUGCUGCAUGGCUGUCGUCAGCUCGUGUCGUGAGAUGUUGGGUUAAGUCCCGCAACGAGCGCAACCCUCACUUUUAGUUGCCAUCAUUAAGUUGGGCACUCUGAAAGAACUGCCAGUGAUAAGCUGGAGGAAGGUGGGGAUGACGUCAAGUCCUCAUGGCCCUUACGUGUUGGGCUACACACGUGCUACAAUGGUAUCUACAACAGGAAGCAAGACUGCGAAGUUAAGCAAAUCCCUAAAAGAUACCUCAGUUCGGAUUGCACUCUGCAACUCGAGUGCAUGAAGCUGGAAUUACUAGUAAUCGUGGAUCAGCGUGCCACGGUGAAUGCGUUCCCGGGUCUUGUACACACCGCCCGUCACACCAUGGGAGUUGGUUCUACCUUAAGGCAAGGUUUCAAACCCUUGACCACGGUAUAGUCAGCGACUGGGGUGAAGUCAUAACAAGGUAACCGU